This 411-nucleotide ribosomal RNA is filed under the name Bombina orientalis. RNAcentral describes it as "partial 12S ribosomal RNA". It matches the Rfam family "Bacterial small subunit ribosomal RNA", at positions 918 to 1533 of the family's 1533-position model. Lineage: Eukaryota; Metazoa; Chordata; Amphibia; Anura; Bombinatoridae. The record is from RNAcentral.
GCCCCACCCACCUAGAGGAGCCUGUUCUAUAAUCGAUAACCCCCGCUUAACCUCACCACUUCUUGCCAAUACCGCCUAUAUACCACCGUCGCCAGCCCACCCCGUGAGGGAAAUAGUAGGCACAAUGAUAAGUCACCAAAACGUCAGGUCAAGGUGUAGCGUAUGAAGUGGGAAGAAAUGGGCUACAUUCUCUAACCUAGAGCACACGAAAAAUCAUAUGAAAUUAGAUCAGAAGGAGGAUUUAGUAGUAAAAAGAAACAAUAGUGUUCUUUUUAAGUUGGCCCUGGGGCGCGCACACACCGCCCGUCACCCUCUUCAACUAAUAAAACACGAUUUAUAAAACAUAAAACAAACACAAGAAGAGGUAAGUCGUAACAUGGUAAGUAUACCGGAAGGUGUGCUUGGAAUUAC